Molecule: long non-coding RNA, 726 nt
Organism: Meriones unguiculatus (Mongolian gerbil)
Lineage: Eukaryota; Metazoa; Chordata; Mammalia; Rodentia; Muridae
Exons: 3
Source: RefSeq, a predicted model, not a curated record
UCGGGGCUACGGCGGGCUGGGACGGGGCAUUGUGCUGUCGCGGCUCUGGGACGUCGACCAGUACGAGCCGGUGAGCAGUGGGGCACGCGAGUUGGCGCUCUCCCUGACCCCGGGGUCCCGGGCAGAGGUGUGUGACCUUGGACUAGUUAAGUCCCCUCUCCGAGAUGCCAGCUCAGCAGCAUUACAGCAGAGGGGGCCACUCACUCACGGAGCCAUCACCAGCCCAAGCCUCACUUUAAAGUACUUAGAUACCGUUCACCGCCAAUUAACUGUGUGUGGAAACUGUUUAGAUUUGUACAGCUGAGUGGAUCGUCUGGUGUGUUCCACCAUGUCACCCUCAUGUGGCGGCAGAGGGCUGUUCUCCUGGGCUGUGGCUGCACCCUGUGGCAUUUACAGAGGAACGAAGAACCAAGCGAAUAAUGAUGGCCGCACCCGGCUUUCCUGUCUCCCUCAGUCCCCUCCGUACCCUGUGGUCCCACCAGUGACCUGUCUCAUCCUCACACCCGAGCCUGGACACAGCACACGGGUGUCAUUUCCCCUCACUGCACGGCCCAGAGAGCCCUCUCUCCCGGACUCCAUCCCAGGGAAGCAGCCGAGGCCACCUGCCAUCACAGGCCGAUGGGACUUGGGCUCUGAGCUUGUGUUUUAUACCGAGUUGGAGGGGAAUUAGCAUUCUUGUCAGCGGAGAGCUGAGCGGUGAGCGGGGAAGAUAAUUAAAACUUUGCC